Molecule: ribosomal RNA, 921 nt
Filed under: uncultured bacterium
Lineage: Bacteria
Description: bacterial SSU rRNA
Rfam family: Bacterial small subunit ribosomal RNA
Source: RNAcentral
UAUCAUGCAGUUCGAGCGGUCCCUUCGGGGAUAGCGGCGGACGGGUGAGUAACACGUAGGUAACCUGCCUGUAAGACUGGGAUAACUAUCGGAAACGAUAGCUAAGACCGGAUAACUGGUUUUCUCGCAUGAGAGAAUUAUGAAACACGGAGCAAUCUGUGGCUUAUAGAUGGGCCUGCGGCGCAUUAGCUAGUUGGUGAGGUAACGGCUCACCAAGGCGACGAUGCGUAGCCGACCUGAGAGGGUGAACGGCCACACUGGGACUGAGACACGGCCCAGACUCCUACGGGAGGCAGCAGUAGGGAAUCUUCCGCAAUGGACGCAAGUCUGACGGAGCAACGCCGCGUGAGUGAUGAAGGUUUUCGGAUCGUAAAGCUCUGUUGCCCUAGUCGAACAGCAUCAGGAGUAACUGCCUGGUGUGUGACGGUAUAGGAGAAGAAAGCCCCGGCUAACUACGUGCCAGCAGCCGCGGUAAUACGUAGGGGGCAAGCGUUGUCCGGAAUUAUUGGGCGUAAAGCGCGCGCAGGCGGUUAAUUAAGUUGGGUGUUUAAGCCCGGGGCUCAACCCCGGUUCGCAUCCAAAACUGGUUGACUUGAGUGUAGGAGAGGAAAGUGGAAUUCCACGUGUAGCGGUGAAAUGCGUAGAGAUGUGGAGGAACACCAGUGGCGAAGGCGACUUUCUGGCCUAUAACUGACGCUGAGGCGCGAAAGCGUGGGGAGCAAACAGGAUUAGAUACCCUGGUAGUCCACGCCGUAAACGAUGCAUACUAGGUGUUGGGGAUUCGAUUCCUCGGUGCCGAAGUUAACACAGUAAAGUAUGCCCCCCUGGGGAGUACGCUUCCAAGAAUUGAAACUCAAAGGAAUUGACGGGGAACCCCCCACCAAGCAGUGGAGUAUGUUGGUUUUAUUUCGAAACCAACGC